This 477-nucleotide ribosomal RNA is filed under the name uncultured bacterium. RNAcentral's name for it is "bacterial SSU rRNA". It matches the Rfam family "Bacterial small subunit ribosomal RNA", at positions 28 to 506 of the family's 1533-position model. The record is from RNAcentral.
GAUGAACGCUGGCGGCGUGUCUAAGGCAUGCAAGUCGAAUGGUCUGGUUUCCAGGCCAUGGCAAACGGGAGAGUAACACAUUGGUAAUUUACCCCAAAGACGAGAAUAAUCCAGAGAAAUCUGGAAUAAUACUCGAUAUUAUGCAUUGUCGCCUGACAAUGCAUCAAAGCUCCGGCGCUUUGGGAGAAGCCUAUGGUCUAUCAGCUAGUUGGUGGGGUAAUGGCCUACCAAGGCGAUGACGGAUAGCGGGUGUGAGAGCAUGACCCGUCUCACUGGGACUGAGACACUGCCCAGACUCCUACGGGAGGCAGCAGUCGAGAAUAGUCUACAAUGGCCGGAAGGCUGAUAGUGCGACGCCGCGUGAACGAGGGAGCCCUUCGGGGUGUAAAGUUCUUUUCUAUACGAGCAGUGCUAUAUAUAUGGAUAGGUAUAUAUAGAGGGAUAGGUAGUAUAGGAAUAAGCAACGGCUAACUCCGU